AAAAAGACAAAUCAUGGGUUUCCGUGUCCAACUUUGACUGUCCGUCUUAUAUGAAAUUUUUUUAUAAUUCGUAUUUUCAUUGUUGUUAGAUGAUAAAACAUGAUUAAUAUUUUAUGCGUGACUUGUCUUUUUAUUUUUUUUCAUAAUUUUUUCAAAUAAGACGGACGGUCAAACGUUGGACACGGAAACC
This 190-nucleotide microRNA precursor is filed under the name Oryza nivara. RNAcentral describes it as "MIR812 microRNA precursor family". It matches the Rfam family "MIR812 microRNA precursor family". The record is from Rfam by way of RNAcentral. Lineage: Eukaryota; Viridiplantae; Streptophyta; Magnoliopsida; Poales; Poaceae.